CACGAGUCGUGACGCGCUACACGAAAUCAGAGUAAUCUGAUUGUUAGCCGCCGGGAGCCUAUUAAUACCCAACACGAGGUCGCUGGACACUCGCAAUUAAGAGAAACUACGCAACUUUCCGCAGCAGUAGCAGACCUCUGAGCCCGAUUACAAGUCCCCAACUAUUGUCAGAUCAUCAGGACUUUGGUUGAGACCAGAUAAUUGAGACCCAGAUUACAGAGAGACGUUACCAAUGACUUGUGAAGUUUAUUACCAACAUCGUCAAGAUUACCCAUUUAUUUAAAUGGACAAAUGUUAUCCGUCAUCUGCUUUAUUCUCUUUACUUUGUUGAUGAUGGAGAAAGAGUCGUACACUCAGUUAAACCUGCAGACCGGCCGGCCAGCUUGCAUGUCCUUCACGCUUGAAGGUCGCGGGGAACAUUACGUGUAAAACUGACAAUGCGGUAGUGUAGAGGUUGGGUGAGAACUGGACGUUUUGCAUCAUUAUCAAGCAGUAACGUCAACCUGCAGUUAAGUAAAGGCAGUCCGCAUGUCCUUACACUUUCGAAGGUCACGGAGAUCAUUACGUAAAACGUGUCAUGGAAUGGUGUAGAGGUUGGGUGAGAAAGGGACGUGUUUCAUCAUUAUCAAGCAGAGAUACAAUACCCGCAAGGCCUAAGAGGUGAGGGUGAUAAAAAUAUCGUAUAAAAAGGAGAGAGAAAAGGCCAGAGACAUCAGUAGAGUGAGCAUCACCGACACGGCGACAACUGCAGUGCACUACCUGUAGCAACUACCUACUUCAUCGCAUUACCAGUUUGCAACAAUGGUUAACCAUAUCGUCGUGCUGCUGUUGGGUGUUGUAUCGUUCGUUGAUGGCUGGGUCGAACACUGGUGUACUGAUGUCUUCCGAGCAUGGUGGAUAUGAAAUCACAACGCCGUCGCCUUACUACACAACAGCAACUUAGGCAACAGUCAGUUACUACACCGACGUCCCGAAGUAAUGCUCUGCCCCGAGCUACACCACCAAGGUACCGGAGUACUACACGAGACUACGUAUGCUGACACAAUACUACACCGAGGUAGUACACCGAAGUUCCAGCUUAUUACACCACCGAAGCGCCAGUACUACACUGCAACCUACGCUGCCCCAGUUUACGCCACGAAGGUAACGGAGUACUACAUCACAACCUACCCUGCCCCAUCUUACUGCACCGCUUCGAGCUACACAACCACAACCGAGGUGACCAAGUAUUUCUACACAGUGGCUGCCUUUUGUACUAAUUUUCUACACCACAACCUACGGUACACCUUUCUACUACACCGAAGUCCCUAAAGUAGCUACUACUAAGCUUAAAGUACUACACUAUCAAAGUACCUGAAUAUUAUACCACCACAUAUGCUACUCUGACCUACUACACUGAAGCUUUGAAGUUUAAGUUGCACAUGCAGAAAUACUUCAGAACACUAAAAGGGAUUAACUUUUUUAUCCUUAGAUUACAUGGGACUGUUUCUGAUAGCUCUUUUGAUGGUACGGGCACGUGAUCCCUGUCAUAAAGAAUACGAGUUAGUGAAUAAAAGAAUUUCAAGUUAAUUUGUUUUUCACACAGCAUUUCCGUAAAACGUAAAAAGUAUCAUUCAGUGGUGUAGAGGGUGGGUGAGA
This 1638-nucleotide long non-coding RNA is filed under the name Daphnia pulex (common water flea). RNAcentral describes it as "uncharacterized LOC124193438, transcript variant X1". The record is from RNAcentral. Lineage: Eukaryota; Metazoa; Arthropoda; Branchiopoda; Diplostraca; Daphniidae.